AAUGUCAUGGGUGGAAAGAAUAGGUCAUUAAAGUAGUUGAAGAGGGAAGCGAUCGGGGAAGGCUGGAAACAUUCUUGGAGGUGAAACGGUGGGCAGCAAGUGUUUAGUUAAACGGGGCGCAGUGAUAAAUGAAACAGGGAGUUUCUGGAAGAGAUAAGAGUGAGUACGUGUGAUGAGUGAAAUGGGGCAUAUUGUACAUUUUAGUUAAACGGUGCAUUUUGUUCAAAUGUUAGUACAAAAGACCACAGGAAUGGGCUUAAUAGGUAUCUGAAGUGUAUUGUAUGAAUCGAUUGGAGGUUGAGUUUUUCCUCGAAAUAAAGCUCAGUGUUUUCUCUCUUUUAUUUCUAGUUCUUGUUCUUGUUGUCGUGCAUCUCCAGAACUUCCCUAGUAGUCAGUAUUAGAGAGGGAGAUCCUCUCAUGGCUGAAGGUACUCGAGGAAAUUCUUUGAAGGCCUACCAAGAAAUGAACCAAAAGCAACAAGAAGCUAUGCAGCAGCAACUAGAUGAUCAGCAACAAUCAAAACAUGUCAUCUCUGACAGGGACAGGGAAAGAGGUAGGUGCUGGCGACGAUGGAAGAGGGAACAGUGGCAACAGAUUCUCACAAAGUAUCUUUUCAGAUAUUGUACAGUGAGGCAUCUGAAAAGCUUCACUGAAACUGAAAUAAUGAUAUCAUUAAUAAAGUAAUUUAAAUUGAUGUAAAUUAGAAAAAUAUUACUCGAAAGAGAUGAAUUUCUGUGUAUGUCAAAAUAUGUAAGAAAUAGUAGUCUACAUAUUUAUCUAUAAGAGGGGGAAAGGGUUGGAGAAAAAGAAAAGAUUUUAGAUCAUGCUUUCAAAUUUGAUUCAAGCAACAAAAGUCUAGCCAGUUUUUCUUCAA
Molecule: long non-coding RNA, 874 nt
Organism: Carya illinoinensis
Lineage: Eukaryota; Viridiplantae; Streptophyta; Magnoliopsida; Fagales; Juglandaceae
Exons: 2
Source: RefSeq, a predicted model, not a curated record